GCUAAGGUUGGAUUGUUCCCCACUGACAGGGAACGUGAGCUGGGUUUAGACCGUCGUGAGACAGGUUGGUUUUACCCUACUUGGCUGGAGAUUGCGA
This is a ribosomal RNA of Trypanosoma congolense IL3000, 97 nucleotides long. It matches the Rfam family "Eukaryotic large subunit ribosomal RNA", at positions 2916 to 3401 of the family's 3401-position model. Lineage: Eukaryota; Euglenozoa; Kinetoplastea; Trypanosomatida; Trypanosomatidae. The record is from Rfam.